RNAcentral lists this transfer RNA (64 nucleotides) under Crioceris asparagi (common asparagus beetle). RNAcentral's name for it is "tRNA-Ala". Lineage: Eukaryota; Metazoa; Arthropoda; Insecta; Coleoptera; Chrysomelidae. The record is from RNAcentral.
AGGAUAAUAGUUAAAUUAACAUUUAAUUUGCACUUAAAAAAUAUUGAAUAUUCAAUUUAUCUUA